AACGAACGCUGGCGGCAUGCCUAACACAUGCAAGUCGAACGAGACCUUCGGGUCUAGUGGCGCACGGGUGCGUAACGCGUGGGAAUCUGCCCUUGGGUUCGGAAUAACAGUGAGAAAUUACUGCUAAUACCGGAUGAUGUCGAAAGACCAAAGAUUUAUCGCCCAGGGAUGAGCCCGCGUAGGAUUAGCUAGUUGGUGAG
Molecule: ribosomal RNA, 200 nt
Filed under: uncultured bacterium
Lineage: Bacteria
Description: partial 16S ribosomal RNA
Rfam family: Bacterial small subunit ribosomal RNA
Source: RNAcentral